UUCAGUGACCCACCUGAAGCUAAGCAGGUUUAGGCCUGGCCAGUAUAUGGAUGGGAGACCAACUAGGACAGCUGGGUUGUUGCUGGAA
This 88-nucleotide ribosomal RNA is filed under the name Paramormyrops kingsleyae. Lineage: Eukaryota; Metazoa; Chordata; Actinopteri; Osteoglossiformes; Mormyridae. The record is from RNAcentral.